AUGAUUUAUUCAUUGCUUUUUUUUUGCUCCGCAGCUCGAGAUAGAAAGCAAGCCGUCAUGCAGCGGAUUCCUGUCUCGACCGCCCCCCCGGAGCCUCACGGUACCAUGAGCGCAUCAGCCGCUUGGACCUCAAUUGACAAAGGCGAACUGGUCCACAGUCACACGCCAGAAGGCGAUCGUCACAUAGGAGGCACUGGAUUAAGGACGCCAGCCGUUUGCUGCGGUCAAUUGAAAGUGUUUUAUAGCGUAUUGCUGCAGUUAGUUUACCUUGUUCCUAAUAAUUUUAUGAUUCAUUGUUUUAUUAUUAUAUACAUGCGGCAUAUUUUAUGUUUUGUUCUUGGUUACAAAUGUCUAACAUUUUUGUCUUAAAGACAUCUAAUAAACUCCAACCACCACCACUGAAAUGAGUUUGGUUGUCUUUCUUUAAUUUGUGGGGAAUUAAAUGCAAAAGUUUAUAAGCAAACGGUAACAUUCUGGCAUUUAUACCACAAAAACAGUAAUCCUAUGGUAACAAACUGUAAUCCAAUAUACAGCAACAUACCGUAUAUUACGGUAGGGCACUGUAAAUAAAACAGUAAGUUGCUAGCGUCGACUGCCAGUAAAUCACAGUUAAUUCAUAGUAAAAUUGGUUCAAGUUUACGGUAAAAUACAGUAAUCCAUCAUACGGUAACAUAUUGUAUUCUACGGCAGUGUACCAUAAAAAACAGUAAAAUAAUGGUAUCCGCUGCCAUGAAAUGGAUUACAGUAAAAUUGGCGUGAACUUUACAGUCAAUUAACGGUAAAAUACUGGAAACAUAGGGCAAAACGGUAAUAUACUGUAAAAUAACGGUACAUUAAUGGCGUCCUUGCUGCCCGUAAGUUACCGUUAAUUUACGGUGACAUUUUUUAGAGUGCAGGCCUGUAAAGGUCACCCAGCAGUGCAACAAUGGUUAAUAAUGAUUAGGGUUUAAUUAAACAUCACACCAUCACCAGUGACAGUCGGGGUCUAGUGGCGUGCCGAAGGACACGCUGACAUGUAAACUGCAGAGGCCAUGGAUAAGAUUCCUCACACGCUCUACAUCUCAUUCAAACCAUUGGCUUGGUUUAAAGAGGGAGUGUAAACAGUACAUGUAUUGAUGCACUAUUACCUUUAAUGGACUCAGAGUUCUGUAUGAAAUCCUUUUUAUUUUUCAUGAGAAAUAUACAGACAAAUUGUUAUUGGCAAGCAUUUUUCCAAGGUUGAAAAUAACCUGAAAGAAAUACAUUUAUUGCCACUGAGCAGCCUCAGAUUGAUCAGAACAUUAGACCCACACAAGCCCUGUGGAUAAUUGGCAAUCUACCGUAGCUUGCAAUAUUCUGGCAGUCAUUGAAUGACACCACCAAAGGCAUCUUCAAGCAAGAUCUUUAGUUGUGUCUCUCUUCUUGAAAAAGGGGAUUGCAUCUUUAUUUUGAGGAUUUGCUGCUCCAGAAUUGAAAAGUUAUUUUUGGUAGACGCAUGUUAGAGUUGUUACUGUCUCUCUCUGAGAUUUGAAGAUUAUUUUAUAUUUCCUGAUGAAUGUCAGUUUAAUUUCCCUUGAUUCAAGCCUCAACGAGCACCUUCUCAUUGCUGAAAUGUGUCACCAGAGAAAGCAGCGAUAAUUAAAUAUUCUCUCAUUGUCAAUUGUGGUGGCAAUACGACACCUUAUUUUGCGGGAUAUAAACCUGCUACGACCUCAAUUAUGUUUGAUUGGAUUAUGUUCACAGGCAAGAAAUUUAAUUUGAAUAAAUGAAAUGUGUUAAAACUGCUAUUAACAAUAGGCUUUAUUUACCAUUAAAGGCUCAAAUUAAUGCAAUCAGUUCUUCCCAAAGCUAAUGCAAGUUUUGUGCUGAGCGGGCAUAUUGACUUUGAGUAGUGAAGUUGCUUUUCCAGUUUGUAUGUACGCACACACACACACACACACACACACACACACACACACACACACACACAGUGAGACAGGAUCAAGUACGGGAUCAACACUGCGUGUUGUCAGUAUUUCAAAUAAAUUAUACAUUGCUUUACAGCUUCCUUAGUUAGAAAAAGUGAUCAAUAAUUCAAAAGACAUAUAGAAUCACAGCAAUGUAGAGGGAGAUUUUAUAUUUUGUGAGUGUUGAGUGAGUGUGCCUAUCUGUGUCGUCACAAACUUGUGUAAUUGUGUGAUUAAACGUUGCUAUGUUUUCACAGCUUUACAGAGUUCAUCUUAAUAAUGAUUUGAAUGCGUCCGUUCUCUACAUUCUAACACAUGGAUGUGGUUUAAUCUGCAGCAGAAUAUGAAUAUGGGUUAUAAAACAAUUGAAAUUGAUCGGACUCCACAUGCACAUCCUGUGCACACCUUUGUGUAGAGAAUGAAAGUCUAAAUGCUGAACAAUGGAAUUCAGACCUCUGCUGGAAUGAACCUUGACAGUGUUCCAGCUGGCUGUCACAUCUAAUGAUUUGAUCAAUGAUAACCUUCUCAGCAAAAAGAAAAUUAUCACAGGCUGACUUAUACAUGCUGCAGUUCAGUGAAGGACGUCUAUUUUCUAUACUAAAGAUACCAACAGGGAGGAAGGUUUUAAAUCUCUUUUAAUCACCUUUUGGGGGGAAUAUAUAGUAGAAUGGGUUAACCCUUAAUUCUGCCUCAAGCUACAAUAGGGACUUUACCCUCAACUUUAUCAAUAAUAACAUUAAAAAAAACGUUGAAUUAUUACUGAUCCUUGGUUGCCAAAUUGCUCUUUUAAUGUAAAGUAACGGUAACAUUCCCUUUGAAUCAUGAGUCUGAUUAACCAACUCCUCAGUCAUUUCCUUCAUACCACGGAAGAACUUAAUCAGGACAAGCUCGGAUCAUCCGGAGAUUAUUAUAGACAGCAGGCAAUCAGUCUAGUGUUCACAGGUUCUUCAGGUACCCUUUAUGUAACACAAGUCUGUCCAUGUGUGCGCUGGAAUAUCCGCAAUGGAUCAGUGUGAUUGUGAAAUACCCAUGUUAUUCAUCAAAGUACAUUUCCUAUCAAACAAAUAGACACAAUUACUACUGAGCUUUUUGGUUGUGUUAUCUUCUCUGGAUGGAUUUGUCUUGUAUCAACGUGUUCGACUUCUAUAAAGAGAGGUAAUUCCCUUAAGUGACAAUCUGUUCCACAACCUGUUUGAUCUUGUUUACUUGCUAUCUCGAAAAGCCUUCAAAAAAAAUAGGAUCUUCAUCCCGUCCUUAACAAACAAACAAAGGGAGGGACGUUUGUCCCUUAAAUCAGGAGACAAAAUGUCUCAAUUAUCUGCCGUUUUAUUAGAAAAUUGUGCCGCCAUCGUCGUGUUUCGACCACUGACACCAGCUGAUGUCUUGAUUAUUAUAGAGAUGGAACAGCAGAGUAAUGGAGGCAUUCUAUUGCAAUUGGGGCAAAUGUUUAAUGUGUUGAAAAGCUGCGGUUGUCUGAAUAAUUAUUCUAAUAAUAUAAUAAGAAUAAUUCUAUUUGGAAAAGCUCUAAUCUGCACUAAUCUCUCAUGUAAUGCUGUAGUUUGUGGGGAAACUGAAACUUUAAACAAGCCCCCCCCCCCGCUGACUGCAGAUACAUUUGACUACAAUAUUUUCUUGAACC
This is a long non-coding RNA of Gasterosteus aculeatus (three-spined stickleback), 3564 nucleotides long. The record is from Ensembl. Lineage: Eukaryota; Metazoa; Chordata; Actinopteri; Perciformes; Gasterosteidae.